CACAAGGACCUGAGUUUGAUCCUCGGUACCAAAAAAAAAAAAGAAGAAAAAUUAUGAACAUUUGUGCAUUAAAGGACAUUGGAGGGAAUGAAAAAACACACAGAACAGGAGAAAAUAUUUACAAAUCACAUAUUUGAUACAGGGUUACUUUCUAGAGUAUUUAAGUAACUAUAAGUCAACAACCAAAACGAAUUCACAUAUGGACAAAGGACUUGAAUAGACAUUUCCUCAAAGAAGAUAUGCACAUGAAAAGAUGCUCACCACCAUUAGCCAUUAGGAAAGCACAAAACUAAACCACAAUGAAAUAUCACUUUACACCCACUUGAAUAGCUAUUAGAAAACGAAACAAAUAAAUGACAAAGAUGUGGAAAAAGUAGAUCCCUCAUGCUGGUAGAAAUAUAAAUGGUAUAGUCUGGCAGUCCCUACAAAUGUUAAACAUAGGAUUACAUACGGCCAGUGAUUUCACUCCUAGUGAAAUGUAUGUGUGACUCAGACACAUACAUACAUGUAUACAUGUAUACAUACAUGUAUACUAAUGUUCAAAGUAGCAUCUUUCACAAUAGCCAAAAGGCUGAAGCAACCCAAGUGUGUAGUGACAGAUAAAAGGAUAAACAAAGGGUGAUAUAUCUGUAUAGUGGAAUAUUAUUCAGCCAUAAAAAGGAAUGGAGGGCCCGAGUUUGAUCCCCGGUACAAAAAAAAAAAAGGAAUGGAGUUCCAACAUAGAUGAACUUUGAAAAUGUCAUAUGUGAAAUAAGCCAGACAUGAAAAGAAUACUGAAUGAUUCCACUUAUACAAGAUACUUAGACUAGACAAAUUCAUAAAGACAGAACAUAGGCUAGAGGACACCAGGGGCUGGAGGGGCAGGGAUGAGAAUUAUUACUUAAUGGUAUAUAAAAUUUUGUUGGAGAUGAUAGAAAAGUUUGGGAAAUGGUGGUAGUUGCACAACAUUGUGAAUAUAUUUAGUGUCAUUGAAUAGUACGUGUUUUGUUUUUUUUUUUCUUGAGACAGGGUCUUGCUAUGUGGCCCAGGCUGGCCUCAAACUCGUGGCAAUCCUCCUGCCUCAGCAUCCCAAGUACUGGGAUAAUGGGCAUGCGGCACCACACCCACCUUGAAUUGUACAUUUAAAAGUGAUUAAAAUGAGCCAGCGAAGGAGAAGCUCACAGUUCCUCAGAAAAUAAUUUUUAAAAACUAGCUGGGAAGAGGGCCUCAGGACUUGAAUGGCUGAAACCAAAAAAGGUACUGAUUCUUGGCCAGUCCUGAGGAAGUGUUUCCUGUGGAAGACAUGAACACAAACAGAGUCAGAGCACCACCCUUCAGACAGCGUGCUGACAGAUGUAAGUAUGCACUGUUGGUACAAAUUAUACAACUUCAGGUACAGACAGAAAAGGAUAUAAAUUGUCAUGUGUAAUUAGUAGUGGGAAAUAUGUUCAAUAAUUAUUUUGUGUAUAACUUUGGAAAAAGUUGUAUAUAAUUAUUUAGAAGAGCUUUGGUAGUUUUAUUUUUUAAGGCAGAAAUGUCCAUAUUAAGCACAUAAUACAUAUACACAUAAUUAUUUUUCUGAGAAGCUGUAAGUUGGAGUGGAUAAUUUAAAAAUUCUCAUAUUGGUAUAAAAUGAAACAGUUUAAAGCUAAUACUGACUUGAUUUUAGCUGGAUUAUCAAACAAAUAAAAAAAAUCCAUCUGUGCAAUUAAAAUUUUUCUUAUUUUAAAAAAAAGUAUGACAUAAUCAUUAUUUAUCAGAUUCCAUGGAUAAAGUGCUUCUGUAUAUAGCAUACUUCACAUAACUAGAGAAGUAAUUCCUAAAAUUCAUUUGGAAUCAGAAGAGACCUAGAAUAGCAAAAACAAUUCUGGGCAACAAAGGCAAGGCAGGAGACAUCACAAUCCCUGACUUGAAAUUAUACUUCAGAACUACUAUGAUAAGA
Heterocephalus glaber (naked mole-rat) is the source of this 1921-nucleotide non-coding RNA. Lineage: Eukaryota; Metazoa; Chordata; Mammalia; Rodentia; Bathyergidae. The record is from RefSeq and is a predicted model, not a curated record.